Molecule: ribosomal RNA, 406 nt
Filed under: uncultured bacterium
Lineage: Bacteria
Description: partial 16S ribosomal RNA
Rfam family: Bacterial small subunit ribosomal RNA
Source: RNAcentral
AUUGAACGCUGGCGGCAGGCCUAACACAUGCAAGUCGAACGAGUGGCGGACGGGUGAGUAAUGUCUGGGACACUGCCCGAUGGAUGGGGAUAACUACUGGAAACGGUAGCUAAUACCGCAUACCAUCGGAUGUGCCCAGAUGGGAUUAGCUAGUGGGUGGGGUAAAGGCUCACCUAGGCCACGAUCCCUAGCUGGUCUGAGAGGAUGACCAGCCACACUGGAACUGAGACACGGUCCAGACUCCUACGGGAGGCAGCAGUGGGGAAUAUUGCACAAUGGGCGCAAGCCUGAUGCAGCCAUGCCGCGUGUAUGAUGAAGGCCUUCGGGUUGUAAAGUACUUUCAGCGGGGAGGCGUUACCCGCAGAAGAAGCACCGGCUAACUCCGUGCCAGCAGCCGCGGUAAUUC